CUGUCAGGAUCGGGAGAAUCCGGCGGGGGCCGCAAGCCUCGGAGCCGGUGCCGAAGGAGCAACCGCCCCGGUAAACUCUCAGGCGCAAGAACCGUUCUGGCACA
This 104-nucleotide non-coding RNA is filed under the name Paracoccaceae bacterium. RNAcentral's name for it is "Rhodobacteraceae bacterium Glycine sequence". It matches the Rfam family "Glycine riboswitch aptamer". Rfam says of the family: This family represents the bacterial glycine riboswitch. Glycine riboswitches usually consist of two metabolite-binding aptamers domains with similar structures in tandem. The record is from RNAcentral. Lineage: Bacteria; Pseudomonadati; Pseudomonadota; Alphaproteobacteria; Rhodobacterales; Paracoccaceae.